GACGAACGCUGGCGGUGUGCUUAACACAUGCAAGUCGAACGGUAAGGCCCUUUCGGGGGUACACGAGUGGCGAACGGGUGAGUAACACGUGAGUAACCUGCCCUCAUCUCUGGGAUAACAGUCGGAAACGGAUGCUAAUAUUGGCUAUGAGCUUGCACGGCAUCUUGUGGGUUGGAAAGAGUUUUUUGGUUGGGGAUGGCCUCGCGGCCUAUCAGCUUGUUGGUGAGGUAGUGGCUCACCAAGGCUUCGACGGGUAGCCGGCCUGAGAGGGCGACCGGCAACAUUGGGACUGGGAAUCGGCCCAAACUCCUACGGGGGGCAGCAGUGGGGAAUAUUGCACAAUGGACGGAAGUCUGAUGCAGCAACGCCGCGUGCGGGAUGACGGCCUUCGGGUUGUAAACCGCUUUCAAUUGUGACGAAGCUUUUUGUGACGGUAGCAGUAGAAGAAGCACCGGCUAACUACGUG
This 466-nucleotide ribosomal RNA is filed under the name uncultured bacterium. RNAcentral describes it as "partial 16S ribosomal RNA". It matches the Rfam family "Bacterial small subunit ribosomal RNA", at positions 28 to 507 of the family's 1533-position model. The record is from RNAcentral.